This 404-nucleotide ribosomal RNA is filed under the name uncultured bacterium. Its description in RNAcentral is "bacterial SSU rRNA". It matches the Rfam family "Bacterial small subunit ribosomal RNA", at positions 355 to 776 of the family's 1533-position model. The record is from RNAcentral.
UGGGGAAUCUUGCGCAAUGGGGGCAACCCUGACGCAGCCAUGCCGCGUGAACGAUGAAGGCCUUAGGGUUGUAAAGUUCUUUUACCCGUGACGAUGAUGACGGUAACGGGGGAAUAAGCUCCGGCUAACUUCGUGCCAGCAGCCGCGGUAAUACGAAGGGGGCUAGCGUUGUUCGGAAUUACUGGGCGUAAAGCGCGCGCAGGCGGUUCGAUAAGUUGGGGGUGAAAUCCCCGGGCUCAACCCGGGAAUGGCCUUCAAGACUGUCGAGCUAGAGGACGAGAGAGGUGAGUGGAAUUCCCAGUGUAGAGGUGAAAUUCGUAGAUAUUGGGAAGAACACCGGUGGCGAAGGCGGCUCACUGGCUCGUUUCUGACGCUGAGGCGCGAAAGCGUGGGGAGCAAACAGG